RNAcentral lists this ribosomal RNA (861 nucleotides) under Trieres chinensis. RNAcentral describes it as "eukaryotic LSU rRNA". It matches the Rfam family "Eukaryotic large subunit ribosomal RNA", at positions 72 to 930 of the family's 3401-position model. Lineage: Eukaryota; Bacillariophyta; Thalassiosirophyceae; Eupodiscales; Parodontellaceae. The record is from RNAcentral.
GGAUUCCCCUAGUAACGGCGAGUGAAGCGGGAAAAGCUCAAAAUGUGAAUCUGCGUAACCCGCCUUAACCGGCGGGCGCGCCGAAUUGUGGUCUAUAGAGGUGUCGUCGGCCGCGGUCUCGGGCCAAGUCCCUUGGAAAAGGGCAGCUGAGAGGGUGAGACUCCCGUUCUUGCCUGAGAUCCGCGCGCCUUGGCAGGCAUUCUCGAAGAGUCGAGUAUUUUGGGAUUGAUGCUCAAAGUGGGAGGUAAAUUCCUUCUAAAGCUAAAUAUAGGUGGGAGACCGAUAGCGCACAAGUACCGUGAGGGAAAGAUGCAAAGAACUUUGAAAAGAGAGUUAAAGAGUACCUGAAAUUGCUGAAAUGGAAGCGAAGGAAACCAGUGCCACAGGCAGGUCAUAUUUCCUCCGCCGCUUGCGGUGGGGGCGCUGUGUCUUGUCGCCGGCCAGCAUGGGUUCUCUUCGGGGCAAGUGGCCGUUCGGGAGGUAGCCCCCUCGUGGGGUGUUCUAACCGGGCGGUUCUGUCCUGGGGGGGAUCGAGGAUAGUCGCGCAAGCGCUCGUGAUGCUGGCAAAAUGGUUUUCUUUACCCCGUCUUGAAACACGGACCAAGGAGUUUAACAUGUAUGCGAGUAAAAGGGUGGCAAACCCCAAUGCGAAAUGAAAGUAUCAGAGACGCUAACCUUCGGGUGCACCGUCCGCCGGCCACAACCCUUCGGGGGAAAGGUCUGAGUGUGAGCAUACAUGUUGAGACCCGAAAGAUGGUGAGCUAUGCCUGAGUAGGGUGAAGCCAGGGGAAACUCUGGUGGAAGCUCGUAGCGAUUCUGACGUGCAAAUCGAUCGUCAAACUUGGGUAUAGGGGCGAAAGA